Molecule: ribosomal RNA, 737 nt
Filed under: Vachellia caven
Lineage: Eukaryota; Viridiplantae; Streptophyta; Magnoliopsida; Fabales; Fabaceae
Description: eukaryotic LSU rRNA
Rfam family: 5.8S ribosomal RNA (bases 317-472)
Source: RNAcentral
CCGCUGCCGGCGACGUCGCGAGAAGUCCACUGAACCUUAUCAUUUAGAGGGAAGGAAAGUCGUAACAAGGUUUCCGUAGGUGAAACUGCGGAAGGAUCAUUGUCGAUGCCCCACGAAAAGAGCGACCCGCGGACCGGUUCACAGAGACCCCGGGCCGGGAAGGGGCGCCGGCUCGCCCGGAGCCCCCCCCGGCAACCAAUCCCCGGCGCCCCAGGCGCCAAGGAGCAUUAACAGAGCGAAGGGGCACCGCCGCCGGCGGCCCGGGAACGGUGCCGACCGCCCGGCGCGUGCCCCGCGGAACUCUUAGCAUCCGAACGACUCUCGGCAACGGAUAUCUCGGCUCUCGCAUCGAUGAAGAACGUAGCGAAAUGCGAUACUUGGUGUGAAUUGCAGAAUCCCGUGAACCAUCGAGUCUUUGAACGCAAGUUGCGCCCGAAGCCGUUAGGUCGAGGGCACGUCUGCCUGGGUGUCACGCAGCGUCGCCUCCGCCCCACCGAGGGCGUCCCGGCGGACGAUGGCCUCCCGCGAGCUCCGUCUCCCGGCUGGCCGAAAAAGGGGCCCGACGCGACGGCGGCGCCACGAUCCACGGUGGCUGAGUGAGCCUUCACGCGCUCGAGACCGGACGUGCGCGCGUCGCCCCGCGAGGAGGUGCCCGGCCGCAGGGCCUCCCACCCGUACGCGACCCCAGGUCAGGCGGGGCUACCCGCUGAGUUUAAGCAUAUCAAUAAGCGGAGGAA